This 566-nucleotide long non-coding RNA is filed under the name Vigna radiata. RNAcentral describes it as "long non-coding RNA (VRAD_LNC016123)". The record is from RNAcentral. Lineage: Eukaryota; Viridiplantae; Streptophyta; Magnoliopsida; Fabales; Fabaceae.
AUAUAGUUUCCAAUAGAUGCUAUUCUUAUGAAUGAUCAAUUAACUAAGCACAAAUAUAAUCAUUAAUUCAUGGAAUCAAUCCUCACCAGAUAAGGUGUUUCACUCAAUCACUCAAGUGUUUCAAGAGGUCCCUCCUUCUCUCUACUAUCUACAUGUCACAUAGAACAAAAUUACCCUUCAUCUACUACAAUCAACAUUCUCACACAUAAAUGUCAUCACAAGGACUUUUCAAGGCUUAUAUUGAGGUUAGGCUAAUAACAAAAAUUGGUUUUUCUAGAUCACAAAAUCCUUGAGUUAAGAGAGUUAUUCAAACAUUCAUAUUCAAGCACAAACUCUCUCUUUCACCAAUCUCACUCAUUCCCAACUUUCCCUUUUUCUUUUGCAUUGGGCUUUUCUUUUCAUGCUUAUCUUUUCUUUUCUAUCUUUUUCAUGCUUUUUCAUUCAACACAUUAGCCCAAUGCUUUUCUUUGCCUUUCAAUUCUCCCAACAACCCCAAACUUGAAGCUUUAUCAAUACCAUGCAAUUAUUCUCAACUCAACUCAAGGUAAAGAUUUUUCAAAAAGGUU